GCUGCAUAGAAAUGAAGAGACUCAUAUAUAUAUAAUUAUAGCAUUGUACACAAUCUUACCCGCAUCCAAGUCCACUAAUAAAACGACCCAAGAUUUCCAUCCUGCAUGGGUAAUUCAGUAUUUCAUAUCUUGCCGAGCGCCUUAUAUCGCGAGGCAACUAAUACUGCAUCGUAUCUCAGAAAGCCUUUGUAUGUAUGUAUGUAUGUAUGUCACGCUCAGGAAUGUCAUGCUUCAGGAAUGCGAAAUUGGGUGUGGCUACAUUCAGUUAAUCUUUAUUACCUCCAAACUGAUCUACGUAUUAGUUAAUGUACAGUGUAGAGGGGUUUAUGACAGUAAACCUCCCGACUACGAGGGCGUAAGCCCGAGGGGGAGGUGUGGUUUACUGUCAUAAACCCCGAGGCACUAUGCAUUAAUUGAUAUAUGUCCCAUCUGAUUGGCUGACUGGUUGCUAUGCAUCAAGCUGCAUGACUACCACAUAGCAACACUAUUCAAACAAGAAGACAACUAGGAAAAGAGACACCAGGGCUGCUGUCCACACUCAAAUCCUUGCGCAGCCUGGACAGAAUAUGAGCAGCCAGCCCCUCCCUCCAAAGCGAACGGUACAGAGCCACUCCCCCUCUCUGUUCAAUUAGUCAGCCCCUCCCUCCAACGAAACAACACAGCUAGCUCUAGACGGUGUCUAGACCAGCUCUCUUCAGCUAUGCCAGGCUGUUAGGCAAGCAAAGAAGCUGAACAGGCCUAGUGCAGUGCGUGCAGUACUAGUGCUAGUGAGCAAGGCUCAGCCUGAGCCCUAGCCCUCUCCCAGAGUGUCUCUAAAGCAGCUCCUUCUGCAAGCACACAGCAGAAUUUUUGAUGAACUAGUCUACAGACUACACCCUCUGUCUCUAUGUUUUCAUUUAUGACAUUUUGUUUCUCAUGCAAGACAUUUUCAUUCAUCGAAAACACCAUUAAUUAA
Molecule: long non-coding RNA, 955 nt
Organism: Halichondria panicea
Lineage: Eukaryota; Metazoa; Porifera; Demospongiae; Suberitida; Halichondriidae
Exons: 2
Source: RefSeq, a predicted model, not a curated record